GAAUAAUUUAGAUAAAAUAAACUCCACCUAAACCCAGAAAAAAAAAAAAGAAAGAAAGAAGGAAAAAAGACAGCAACCAGAUAGAAGAUAAUUUUUUAAUGUAAACAAAUUUCAGUUAGCCUUUGACUUAACAUUUUCAAGCAAGAACUUACAGCUGGACUCCUGAAUCCAGUUUUAAAGAGGUCAUGCAGAUGGACCAGAAGCUAGAUGACAUCCUGACCGCGCUCCAGGCUCAGUUUGGGGAUCAGCCACAGGCACAGAUGUCAGGGCAGCCGCUCCACCUGUCAGACAGCUACAGACAGCCUCAGAUUCCUCCCCACUGAACCGGAAAAUUUAAGAGCCGGAGGACAGCCACAUGCCACCCCCUCAUUCUUUUACAUCUGGUU
Molecule: long non-coding RNA, 386 nt
Filed under: Gallus gallus (chicken)
Lineage: Eukaryota; Metazoa; Chordata; Aves; Galliformes; Phasianidae
Description: lncRNA (ENSGALG00010025699.1)
Source: RNAcentral